AGAAGCAGCUCAGGAGAUAACGCUGAUGGAUUACUGGAAUGAGAAACUUUUCCUAAAGACAGCUUUGCUGUUGAUCCUGUUUGUCACACUUGAAUGAAAAGGAAGUGGGAAAACAUUAUCCUUCAUCACUGCUGCUACAGCCAUUCUUUUUGCGAUUCAAACUGCAUGUCAGAUGGAAGACUGUAGGAAGAAUGAGGUGCCAAAAUGUUGGGGAACUGCAACUAUCCCCCAUUCCUUCAGCACUCUGCCACUCGACGGUUUGGUGACAGUGACUACAAUAACUGCCUUCUUGCACUUUCUUCUGACUCGUGAUUUCUUUUGCAUAACCACAAUAAGGAACACCCACACAGAGCCAUCAGUGAAUUCAGCGAUGGCACUGGCAAACAAUUUAUUUAUUUCUUAUGAAAUUUUACAUUUUUU
This is a long non-coding RNA of Oxyura jamaicensis (ruddy duck), 420 nucleotides long. RefSeq lists it as uncharacterized. The transcript has 2 exons. NCBI's taxonomy places the organism in Eukaryota, Metazoa, Chordata, Aves, Anseriformes, Anatidae. The record is from RefSeq and is a predicted model, not a curated record.